Long non-coding RNA from Dermacentor albipictus, 1202 nucleotides. RefSeq lists it as uncharacterized. The record is from RefSeq and is a predicted model, not a curated record. NCBI's taxonomy places the organism in Eukaryota, Metazoa, Arthropoda, Arachnida, Ixodida, Ixodidae.
AUGGCAUCCGGUUCGUAGAUCGUCUUUCGUCGAUGACAGUGAUGUCACCAGUCACAAGCAGCGAGGGAGGCUCCAGAGGGCACGACACCUGGCCUAGCUACAACAUGCCUAAGCGGACGUUACUGCUGUUGCAGAUGACGUGUCCGAGGUGUCCCCAAGCGCCAGCAGCUUUAUCAAUAUAGCGCGAGCUCAGGACACUUUCCUAUGCAGCAAGAGGCUCUCCAUCAAAAAAACAUUAGGACGUCCAUCCGACGGCUGCAGACUAAGCUACCAAGCUGCCGGCGGACCAUCACAUGUCUGCAGAAGGAGCACAGCAGGCUGCCGCCGUCCAUUUCAAAGGCACUAGGUGUUAUCCGUCCAUGUGUUACAGAAAAGGUGUUUAAACUUUGGUGUACACACGUGCGGUUGCAGCAGAGGGUGGUGGACCCCUCCAGAGGUGUAACAGAACCUCUGGAGUGAAGUCGAAGCUUGCAAAAUGUGGAAUGGGGUGUGGAUUUAAACGCAAAGCAACGUACUGAUCUCGGGAGGAUUACCCCAGUCGGCGUUCUAUUAUUCGCUCUGUCGGCAUGUUGCAGAAUGAAAGUUAAAAAUGCUUUGACUGCCAGCCUAACAUUUAAAAGGUAAGGCGGCUAAGGCUAAGUAAUGUUUCAGGGACAGUACUGCUCCCUUGUUCACAUUGAAAAGUAUCUCGGUCUAUUUAUACGUUUAACUAGGUGGUGGUGGAGGAGAAGGUGGGGAGUAGUGAAGGGGUGUCCCCCCUCCUCCCCCUCGCCACUGUGACCUCUGUCGCACCUUUGCGGAAAGCUAGGGGGGGGUGUAAAUGGACGCCCUCGAGUUAUUCGUUGCUAAUCAGGGACUAGUAGCGGCCAUGAAACAUCAAAUAUGUUGACAAAACUAUGGUUUACUUCUGCAAAAAGUGGCACGAGCCUACUCGUCUCAUUUUUUUUUCUUGGGCGGGAAUCAUGUUUUGUGCUACGUGUCUUUUUAAGCUGCAACAUGUAAUUUUUUCCGACCAGUUUAUGUAUUGUCUUGAUUGCCUAAUGGUGGUAUUUUUUCAGUCUUUCGGUUUGUUUGCAGUUCGCAAAAUAGGUCGCGAAUGUAUGUUUUGCCUUUUCAUCAAGUUUACGUGUUUCACUCAUCACUUGAUGUUACGUCAGUAUCUAUCACCUUCCUUAUAAUGCGCCAAACGGGGACUGUAUACU